GGAGAGAGAUUGAGAGACAGAAAGAGAGACAAUAAGGGAGUAUGCUAUAUACCCAAACACAUAAAGGCAAAGCGAGCCAUGACCAGAGCAAACAUCUCCCACUCCAUCUCCACCACUACCACAACAAGUACCAAUCCCAGCCGUCUCCGUCUCGCCGCCGCUACCAAUGCCGUCGCCUUAGUUAACUUUCUCUUCUUAGUCUACCGCUCUCUCCGCCUCCAUGUCUCACUCGCUCGGCCACUCCUCCUCCUCCGCUGCUGCUGCUACUAGCUUGUACUGCGGUGAGGACGCCGGCGACAUCGUCUCCUGUUGCGCAGACACGUUGAUCUCUGAUCAGCCCCCAUCUACGUCUCUCUUCGCUCAUUCUUCGCCGUCCAAUGAGUCCACCAUUUCCGCGCUCAUCGACUCGGAGACCCACCACGUUCCCCACCCGGACUAUCUCAGACGCUGUCGCGACCGCUCGAUCGACGUUACCGCUCGCCAAGACUCCAUCAACUGGAUCUUGAAGGUGCAUGCGUAUUAUCACUUCAGACCGGUUACGGCUUUCCUCUCCAUCAACUACUUCGACCGUUUCCUCUCCUCCCAAUCUCUACCGCAACCAAAUGGGUGGCCUUUUCAGCUGCUAUCAGUGGCGUGUUUGUCUUUAGCGGCGAAAAUGGAGGAGCCCCAGGUCCCACUUCUGUUCGACCUUCAAGUAUUUGAGCCCAAGUUCGUCUUCGAAUCGAAAACGGUUCAGAGAAUGGAGCUAUGGGUCAUGGCCAUUCUCGAUUGGAGAUUGCGCUCUGUCACACCCUUCGAUUUCCUUGACUAUUUCAUCUCCAAACUCGCAUCUUCUUCGACUCCUAAACCCGAGCUCUUCAACCGCGUCUUCUCCGCUUGUUCGGAUCUCAUUCUGAGCACCACCCGUGCGAUCGAUUUCUUGGGUUUUUCGCCGUCGACAAUAGCUGCAGCUGCCGUGCUUUGUGCCACUGCUGAAGGUUCUGAUUCGCUGGCGUUAGAUGGCAAAUUGCCUGUGGUUUUUCACGAGAGUGUAAACAAAGAAACGGUGAGAAGCUGUCACCAACUAAUGGAGGAGUACCUGAUCGACACGUGUCCAGCGGCUCGCCUUAAAGACCGGAGAUCGGAGGCGGUGGCGCCACCAAGCCCCAUUGGCGUCCUUGACGCCGCUGCCUGUGGAAGCUGCGACACGCGUUCGGAGAACCCCGGCUCAAUUGUGUUGGCCGAAGCAGAAGCCGAGCCGCCAACGAAGAGGAUACGAAUGCGAUCAUCUGCGCCAGAUUCUACAGAAGCGGUACUAAGAUAAGGCACCAAACAAGUCCUAUUUUUCUCUCUUUUCACAUCUUUUGUCAGAGAAAGAGAGGUCUCCUUUUUUUUUUUUUUUUAUGUUUUGCAUUUGGUUCUUUUUUAGAAAUCGUCAUUAAAGUCUUCUUUUUUGACCUCUGGAUUAUGAAAUGGACGGCCAGGAUUGGAACCAAAGCCCCCCAGGGGCUGGUCCAGCUACUAAUUGUGGGCAUUUGGGUCAUUGGAAAAGACGUGGGGAGUUGUCCGAAAUACCCCCAACAACUAUACGUAUUUCCGUAGUAAUACUUUACUUUCUUGAUCGAGGGUGGAUGUAAUGUUUGACGUUGGCGACUGGGCCAGUGGACCCGUGCCACGUGCACGACAGGAAGUACGGCCAAGUGGGGUUUGUGCAGUACGCGGCGUAUGUCUCCCAUCCGUAGAUGU
RNA transcript from Juglans regia (Persian walnut), 1725 nucleotides. It is a transcript of the gene named cyclin-D1-1-like, with no coding region annotated. The record is from RefSeq and is a predicted model, not a curated record. The transcript has 7 exons. NCBI's taxonomy places the organism in Eukaryota, Viridiplantae, Streptophyta, Magnoliopsida, Fagales, Juglandaceae.